This 438-nucleotide ribosomal RNA is filed under the name uncultured bacterium. RNAcentral's name for it is "bacterial SSU rRNA". It matches the Rfam family "Bacterial small subunit ribosomal RNA", at positions 954 to 1392 of the family's 1533-position model. The record is from RNAcentral.
GCAUAACGCGAAGAACCUUACCUGGCCUUGACAUCCAUGGAAUCCCGAAGAGAUUCGGGAGUGCCGCAAGGAACCAUGAGACAGGUGCUGCAUGGCUGUCGUCAGCUCGUGUCGUGAGAUGUUGGGUUAAGUCCCGCAACGAGCGCAACCCUUGUCCUUAGUUGCCAUCAUUAAGUUGGGAACUCUAAGGAGACCGCCGGUGACAAACCGGAGGAAGGUGGGGAUGACGUCAAGUCAUCAUGGCCUUUAUGGCCAGGGCUACACACGUGCUACAAUGGCAGGUACAGAGGGAAGCCAACCGGCGACGGGGAGCUAAUCCCAGAAAGCCUGUCUUAGUCCGGAUUGCAGUCUGCAACUCGACUGCAUGAAGUUGGAAUCGCUAGUAAUCGCAGAUCAGCAUUGCUGCGGUGAAUACGUUCCCGGGUCUUGUACACACCG